RNAcentral lists this long non-coding RNA (856 nucleotides) under Oryza brachyantha (malo sina). Its description in RNAcentral is "long non-coding RNA (OBRA_LNC003465)". The record is from RNAcentral. Lineage: Eukaryota; Viridiplantae; Streptophyta; Magnoliopsida; Poales; Poaceae.
UUAGUUAUGGGUCUGAGAACCAAGGGUAAGACACCUGCCCUUGAUCAGCUACCCAAUCACUUAUGUACCAUGGUGUCUGUCCAUGUAAGGUCUGUUCAAGAAGAUAGGGAGACUACAGAAUCCUUUUUAUUUGUUCUUGCUUACUAUGAACAGUCCAAUUCCUCUCUAUAUAGCUGAGCUUUUCUCGAAAGGGCAUGUAUAGUUGGGUGGUACAGUUGACUAUUCUGUGUGCUAUGCAAAAGAUUUUGGGUGAUGUAGAGUAAAGUGGAGAGAGAACAUUGCUAACUUCUAGUUAACAAGCACAGUUGACCUUCCAUGUGGCUUCUGCCCUUAGGCCCUAAAAUCCAGGACACUAGAAUAUGUGAUGCACAGACUGAUCCUGGGGGGAAAGAAACUCUCUGACAUAUCAUCUAGGAUUCCUGUCAUUUUAGUUUUGUGAAGUAAGAAAUUAAGGAUCCAAAUUCGGUUCUUUCAUUAUAAGUCAUGUAUCUGGGUUUUAAUUCUGAAGUAUAUUUUUCAGAUAGACCAGGCCAAAUUAAGUCACUUAAAAUGAGUGAAGUACAAUAUGAGGGGGCUAGUAUUCUAUUUCUUUAUGAUUAGUUAGAGGCUUGUAUAUUGUUGUGUUCUGUUGUAAAAAUGUAUUUCAUUGUGGCUGAUCUGCUAGGGAUUGACACAGACUAAGAAUGUGUGUUUUUUAUUGAAAAGAAUGUGGGUUUGUUGGGGUAGGUUUUUCUCCAGUUUUCUUCAGUUAUUUAAUUUUACAAAAUGUUUAACUUUAGGUUAAUUUAAGCUUUCUUAUUGUUACAGAAUUUUUUUGAUUAGAUACAUGAACUGAUUUUGCUAGUUAAUCUCGAAU